GGGAGGGGACAUUAGGACUUAGCACGAGAGCCACCGGGCUCUGGGCUGCGGAGGAGGUUGGAGGUGACCUUCCAGAAGGAACGUGGGACAAGGGAGCAAGUGAGGACCUGGUGGGUAGUGGUUACUCUGUGAGAAGCCAGCAGCACCAACCAAAUAGAAGGUGGAGAAGUGGCCCCCAGCUUCCCAGUUUGGGUUUGGGCCAAGACAACUAAGAAAAGGGUCCACCGUCUUCACUCCAGGUCAGCACAAGAAAGCUGCCAUGAUGGCUCCUGUGGAGAGACUCCCAUGCCUGCAGGUGGAAACCGAGGGGAUGAAGAUGAGAAGACCUCUACCCGGCACUGGUUUGGAAAACAGAGGACUGUCCCCUGAGCCUGCCAGCGAGUCACAUGUUUGGGUCCCUCAGCAGCCAGAGAAACGAUGAUACAGGACACUGGGGCAGGACAAAGGAGUGUGGCAGUAUUGUGGCCUCCAUGCAGAUGAUGACCCUGCAUUGUAUCAAGUAGAAAAAUGUCUAACCAAGACAGAGGAGAAUACGAACCCUCUCAGCUCAUAGACAGGUGAUGAUGUGGUUUCCAACUGACUUUCAAGCAAACAGAUUUCCAAGCGUGCUUGAAGAGGGCAGUAAAUGAGAAGGCACAAGAUGCAAGAAGAGAGAGGGGUUUGCUGGAAAUCGUGGCUGACCACCUCAGAAGGACCCAGAAGACCCGAACUUUCUGGUUUUGCCUUUCACCUUGCUCUGAAACUUCUCCCAACACUGGAAGACAAGAAAGUUCCGCCCUACCUCCGCCCCACCUCCGCCCCCCGGACCAGGGAGAUUCUUCUCUUUGGGCAAGCAGGCUUGCUGGGCAAUCGUGAGCUGCUGAGUUCCCAUCCCCAUAGAAAGCUGGACAUGGACAUGCAUGCCUGUUUCUGCAGCAUGCUCAACUCCAGGAGCUCUCUGGUCUCCUAUAAAUAAAGGAUAACACAUUCGGCCUUCUUACCAUUUCAAAAUGCAAAA
This 997-nucleotide long non-coding RNA is filed under the name Mus musculus (house mouse). Its description in RNAcentral is "RIKEN cDNA E130006D01 gene". Lineage: Eukaryota; Metazoa; Chordata; Mammalia; Rodentia; Muridae. The record is from RNAcentral.